UACGUAUGGACCGAGCGUUGUCCGGAAUCAUUGGGCGUAAAGGGCUUGUAGGUGGUUUGUCGCGUCUGUCGUGAAAUCCUGUGGCUUAACCAUGGGCUUGCGGUGGGUACGGGCAGGCUUGAGUGCGGUAGGGGAGACUGGAAUUCCUGGUGUAGCGGUGAAAUGCGCAGAUAUCAGGAGGAACACCGGUGGCGAAGGCGGGUCUCUGGGCAGUAACUGACGCUGAGGAGCGAAAGCAUGGGGAGCGAACAGG
Molecule: ribosomal RNA, 253 nt
Filed under: uncultured bacterium
Lineage: Bacteria
Description: partial 16S ribosomal RNA
Rfam family: Bacterial small subunit ribosomal RNA
Source: RNAcentral